ACCUAUCUCCAGUUUGUGCGUGGAUCAGACGCCAUCAAAUCCGUCCGUUUUCAUCAGCCCAUCCAAUGGUGUUAGAUUCACGCACAAACUCGUGAUCCGUCU
This 102-nucleotide microRNA precursor is filed under the name Corchorus capsularis. Its description in RNAcentral is "MIR403 microRNA precursor family". It matches the Rfam family "MIR403 microRNA precursor family". The record is from Rfam by way of RNAcentral. Lineage: Eukaryota; Viridiplantae; Streptophyta; Magnoliopsida; Malvales; Malvaceae.